Long non-coding RNA from Hyla sarda, 1000 nucleotides. RefSeq lists it as uncharacterized. Lineage: Eukaryota; Metazoa; Chordata; Amphibia; Anura; Hylidae. The transcript is spliced from 3 exons. The record is from RefSeq and is a predicted model, not a curated record.
UGUGUGCCAUGGCUGCCAAUGGAAUGCCGUUAAGCCAUGCUUCCCUGAUGAUCAUGUGACUAAUAACAUAUUGGUCCACAUAUGCUAAGCUAAAACCGACUUUUUGUGGGGAUAUUUUGGCGCCUAGUGUCUGCGACAUAUCUGCGCCAGGAAAAUACGGCAAACAUGACACUGCAUUAUGAAAAAGCGAAAAAGAGGCGUAAUCUGACGCAAAGGGGCAUAGUCUGCCUGAAACUAUUUACUAUUUAAUUUACAGAAAAUCCUCUGAAUAAAUAGCUGGAAAUUUCCACCUAGAAAAGCGAGGUGACUAGUUGGUCAGAAAAUGUUCCAAACCUGUAAAUCCCCAUAGUAAAAAGCGUGGAAGUCAGAAACAACAUUUCACACUAGUGAAAACAUAACGCUUUUAGUAAAUGAGGGCCAUUGUCUCUGGCCUCAUGGAAUGCUGGGAAAGGUCAGAGGCAUCAGUAAAAUAUAAAAGACUUGCACUAUAGCACUUCCAGGUUUGGUUCCCGUGCUUUAAAAUGGAACAAAGUGGCACAGACAGGAGCUGGCUUAUUUUGGCUAUGCCAUGAACUCAUGAACAUGUUGUACCACCUUGCUUUUAAGUGGAGGUCCAGUGCAAGCUGUACAUCAAACUUAGAUGGGUGGCUAAGAUUAGAUUUGCUUAGACAAAAUCUCAGGAGAACUGUGGAACAAAAAAACUACAAAAAUGGACAGGUCGAUUUAUAGAAGAAUGCAUCAGUUUGAUGUAGGGCAAAGUGUCUGGCGCAAGAACAAGGGAGAACAAAAGAGGUUUCCUAAAAAGAACACAGCACAAACUGGCCCACUUACACAGUGGAGGUCUUUACUGGCAUUGUCUGGAGACGUCAUAUCAAUCAACAAAGUGAAUUGAAUUCAGCUGCUGUAGAUAGGCCAAGUUCUAUGCCUGCCUCAUCUUAUGUUCCACUUACCGUACCAUCUACCUUGCCUGUGCUUGUUGUAUCAGGUAGUGAGUCUCCUA